Molecule: non-coding RNA, 259 nt
Filed under: Chaetura pelagica (chimney swift)
Lineage: Eukaryota; Metazoa; Chordata; Aves; Apodiformes; Apodidae
Description: Eukaryotic small subunit ribosomal RNA
Rfam family: Eukaryotic small subunit ribosomal RNA
Source: Rfam by way of RNAcentral
CAUUAGGGAGGGAGAAGAUCAUGCUUCAUUUCAGACCUGCUUCUCGGUUCAGGAUUUUGUGAGAUUUGGUAGUUUAAAUUUUUUUUUAUGUCUUAUUUGUCAGCUACACUGACUGGCUCAGCUUGUGUCUGCCCUCUGCCGGCAGGCAUGGGUAACCCAUUGAACCCCAUUUGUGAUGGGGAUUAGGGAUUGCAAUUCUUCCCCUUGAACAAGGAAUUCCCAGUAAAUGCGGGUCAUAAGCUCGCAUUGAUUAAGUACC